CGGCACCAGCUCAAAUUUGAAAUCUGGCCCUUCGGGGUCCGAGUUGUAAUUUGUAGAGGAUGUUUCGGGUACCGCUCCGGUUUAAAUUUCUUGGAACAGAAUGUCAGAGAGGGUGAGAAUCCCGUCUUGGACCGGCGUAGGGCCCAUGUGAAACUCCUUCGAC
Molecule: ribosomal RNA, 163 nt
Filed under: Exophiala sp.
Lineage: Eukaryota; Fungi; Ascomycota; Eurotiomycetes; Chaetothyriales; Herpotrichiellaceae
Description: partial large subunit ribosomal RNA
Rfam family: Eukaryotic large subunit ribosomal RNA
Source: RNAcentral